This 253-nucleotide ribosomal RNA is filed under the name uncultured bacterium. RNAcentral describes it as "partial 16S ribosomal RNA". It matches the Rfam family "Bacterial small subunit ribosomal RNA", at positions 524 to 776 of the family's 1533-position model. The record is from RNAcentral.
UACGUAGGGUGCAAGCGUUGUCCGGAAUCAUUGGGCGUAAAGCGCGCGUAGGUGGCCAUUUAAGUCCGCUGUGAAAGUCAAAGGCUCAACCUUUGAAAGCCGGUGGAUACUGGAUGGCUAGAGUACGGAAGAGGCGAGUGGAAUUCCUGGUGUAGCGGUGGAAUGCGCAGAUAUCAGGAGGAACACCAAUAGCGAAGGCAGCUCGCUGGGACGUUACUGACACUGAGGCGCGAAAGCGUGGGGAGCGAACAGG